This is a long non-coding RNA of Oryza sativa Japonica Group (Japanese rice), 1786 nucleotides long. RefSeq lists it as uncharacterized. Lineage: Eukaryota; Viridiplantae; Streptophyta; Magnoliopsida; Poales; Poaceae. The record is from RefSeq and is a predicted model, not a curated record.
GCAAUAGAAUGUACUAUAAAAAGUCCUCUUCGUAAAUACGAGGAAUCAAUCGAACAAACCCUUAGAAAGAACAUUUUCUCACUUUACCUGCUCUCUCUGCUUAGUAUGUGUUUGGAUGGAGGGUUUUGGGUGUAUAAGACAUGGCGGUCUAUAUUUUUUUUAGGUGUUUAGUUGCUGGGCAAAAGUGGGAUAGGACGGCCCGGAGGAGAAUAUUCCCCCAGAUGCAGCCGCCCAAGGCUCGGGCGAGCCGGGCGAGCGACCAAAGGAGGGUCGCGUCACCCCUCUCCAAAAGCGAGAACGACGGCGACGCAGCGGCUGGUGCGUGCGGCGAGGGCGGCGACCAACGCGAGACGCGAGAGCCAUGACGGCGGGAGGUGAGCUCGACGGCGGCGGGAAGAGGGGUCGACGGUGUGCCCGGAGGCGGCGGCGGCAGGAGGCGAGCUCGGCAGCGGCACGGGAUGUGAGCUCGGCGGCGGUGGGAGGAGAGCGAGGCAGCCAAGGCGGAAGAGGGGCCGACGACGAGCGGGAAGAGGGGUGACGGCGAGCCGGCGGCGGCGGCAGGAUGCGAGGGCGGCGGCGGCGAGCUCGGCAUAGGCCCGGGAUGCGAGCUUGGCGGCGGCGGAAGGCGAGCUUGGCGGCCGACGCGGAAGAGGGGGCGACGGCGGCAAGAAGCGAGGGCAGCGGCGGCGUGCUUGGAGGCUCUCUUUUUUUCCCCUUUUUUCUUUGUUAUUUUUCUUUUUUUUUCUGUGUGGAUUUGUAAUCGGGUUUUGGGUCUCGCCCCACUCACGUUAGGAGAGAAGGUAUCCACUAACCCACCGUGGCAGAAAAUCAAAUAUUGAUUUUUCUUAUUUUGCAAAAUAUGUUCACUGCGCGGUCUUGGUGGCGCUAUGUUCUGCAUGCAAGGCCAUUUGAAAGUUCUGCAUGCAAGGCUUGCUAAUCCGCACGCAUACAAGGCCGUUUGAUCAGGAAGUUGUUAGUGUUGAGGUUGUUACCAAGAUAUCUAUUUAAAACGGCGGCGAGGUAGGUCAGAAGAGGAGGGAUUUGUGAGCAGAAGCAGAUCAGUUCUGCGGAAAUUUGAUGGAGCAUAAUCUUUUGGGGGUAGAGGGCAGAAACUCGUCAGCAAGUUCAGAAGGCGGAACCUUGUCGACACAUGAUGUCGCAUGCAGAAGGCGGCGAUAGCCGUUGGUUCGUCCUUGCCGGCGAGUUCAGGCGAGCACCACAAGCCGACGGUGGAAGAAGGUGGAACCGCGUCGGCGUCUCGGCGAGUGGUGACAUGCAGCAGAAGCCGGCGGUGGCGAAAGGCUGAUCCUUGCCGACGAGUUCUUUUGCUCAGCACAAGCGGGCGGUGCGGGAGGACGGAGGUCUGUUGAAUGGACACGAGUGUGUGCAGAACUCAUCAACUGAUUGGAAUGGUUUUGUGCAACUGUGCAUUGCAUGGCUACUGGUGAUAGGAGUGAAGUGAUGAAUCGCUCUCUCCAGAAAUAUGACAUCCAUUUCCAGAAAUAGUCACACAGUUUGCAACAUGAAUUUCAGAAGCUGCGGAGAACCCCCGGCGCCGCAGAAGUUGUUCCGAUCGAACAUCUAACCAAGGAGAACAUUUAGCCAGUUGUUUAAUGAGCAGAUCAUAUGGAAUAAUGGCUUGCUUUCUGCAUGACCGUUGAUUAGUAGUACGAACUAUCUAUAGUUAUGUAUGAUAUUUUCUAUGAGAGAAACGCGACUAAUAUUUGAGUUGAGUUUUCUGUAACUUCUACUCGUUGGAGUGAAAUAAAAAUAAGAAGUUUUCCUU